Molecule: ribosomal RNA, 253 nt
Filed under: uncultured bacterium
Lineage: Bacteria
Description: partial 16S ribosomal RNA
Rfam family: Bacterial small subunit ribosomal RNA
Source: RNAcentral
UACGGAGGGGACUAGCGUUGUUCGGAAUUACUGGGCGUAAAGCGCACGUAGGCGGAUUUGUAAGUCAGGGGUGAAAUCCCGAGGCUCAACCUCGGAACUGCCUUUGAUACUGCAAAUCUCGAGUCCGGAAGAGGUGAGUGGAAUUCCUAGUGUAGAGGUGAAAUUCGUAGAUAUUAGGAAGAACACCAGUGGCGAAGGCGGCUCACUGGUCCGGUACUGACGCUGAGGCGCGAAAGCGUGGGGAGCAAACAGG